GGGAAGGAGAGACCAAGUUGCAGAGAAGAACGUUCCAGACGAGAUAGGGAAAGAGAAGACGAAGUAGCAGAGACGAUAGAGAGGAGAAGACGAGCGUGCGUUAGCGAUUUGCCUUCCCUCUCACCGGUCAAGAUGAACCUUUUCUAGUUAAGUUUUGUCAAAGUCUUGGUUCUUCUAUCUUCUUUUGGCUGCUUUGGGUGAAAAUGAAGCCUGGACUUGCACAAGUUUUUACUGUCACUGUAUGUUGCAAGAGACUUCAUUUUGUUUCAAAUGGCAUCACUUGGAUUAAAUUUGCAUGCACACCAUAUGGAUGGACUAAAUUUGGAGAGCAUGUGCUAUGUUUUCAGUGAACCCAUGAUAUGGUUUCAUGCUUGAUGCACACAAGUUGUUUGAUGAUAUUCCUGAGAGAGAUGUGGUUUCCUAGAUGACCGUGAUGGGUGGACUUGUGGGACUCUGGGAAUUGCUUUGGAGCUUUUGGGAUGUUUUCAUAUGUGUGGGAAGAGUUUAAUGAUGGUAGACAAAUUCAGGUGGGAGGAAAAAUUCAUUCAUGUGCAUUGAAGAAAGGAGUGGGUGGAAAUUGUUUUGUUGCUUUUGCACUGAUUGAACAAUUGUGGCGAUUAGUUGUGUGGCUCAGAAUUGAAGACUAUUUUUGCGUAAAUAGUGGCGGUUACAGGCUGUUAGAAACUUAACACAAACCGCUAGCGGAAUCAUAUUUUUGCCAAUGUAAUUUCAAAUAAAAACUUUUCCUACAUAGACGACAAAUAAAUAAUUUAAUUAA
Long non-coding RNA from Lotus japonicus, 778 nucleotides. RefSeq lists it as uncharacterized. NCBI's taxonomy places the organism in Eukaryota, Viridiplantae, Streptophyta, Magnoliopsida, Fabales, Fabaceae. The record is from RefSeq and is a predicted model, not a curated record. The transcript is spliced from 3 exons.